RNAcentral lists this ribosomal RNA (465 nucleotides) under uncultured bacterium. Its description in RNAcentral is "partial 16S ribosomal RNA". It matches the Rfam family "Bacterial small subunit ribosomal RNA", at positions 28 to 507 of the family's 1533-position model. The record is from RNAcentral.
GACGAACGCUGGCGGCGUGCUUAACACAUGCAAGUCGAACGGAAAGGCCCCCUUGUGGGGUACUCGAGUGGCGAACGGGUGAGUAACACGUGAGUAACCUACCCUUGACUUUGGGAUAACUUCAGGAAACUGGGGCUAAUACCGGAUAGGAGCUCCUGCUGCAUGGUGGGGGUUGGAAAGUUUCGGCGGUUGGGGAUGGACUCGCGGCUUAUCAGCUUGUUGGUGGGGUAGUGGCUCACCAAGGCUUUGACGGGUAGCCGGCCUGAUAGGGUGACCGGCCACAUUGGGACUGAGAUACGGCCCAGACUCCUACGGGAGGCAGCAGUGGGGAAUAUUGCACAAUGGGCGGAAGCCUGAUGCAGCAACGCCGCGUGCGGGAUGACGGCCUUCGGGUUGUAAACCGCUUUCGCCUGUGACGAAGCGUGAGUGACGGUAAUGGGUAAAGAAGCACCGGCUAACUACGUG